RNAcentral lists this ribosomal RNA (424 nucleotides) under uncultured prokaryote. RNAcentral's name for it is "bacterial SSU rRNA". It matches the Rfam family "Bacterial small subunit ribosomal RNA", at positions 355 to 796 of the family's 1533-position model. The record is from RNAcentral.
UGGGGAAUCUUGGACAAUGGGCGCAAGCCUGAUCCAGCCAUGCCGCGUGGGUGAAGAAGGCCUUCGGGUUGUAAACCCCUUUCACCGGUGACGAUGAUGACGGUAGCCGGAGAAGAAGCCCCGGCUAACUCCGAGCCAGCAGCCGCGGUAAUACGGAGGGGGCGAGCGUUGUUCGGAAUUACUGGGCGUAAAGGGCGCGUAGGCGGCUGUUUAAGUCGAGGGUGAAAGCCCGGGGCUCAACCCCGGAACGGCCUUCGAGACUGGGCAGCUCGAGACCGGAAGAGGAGGGUGGAAUACCCAGUGUAGAGGUGAAAUUCGUAGAUAUUGGGUGGAACACCAGUGGCGAAAGCGGCUCUCUGGUCCGGAUCUGACGCUGAGGCGCGAAAGCGUGGGGAGCAAACAGGAUUAGAUACCCCGGUAGUCC